Molecule: ribosomal RNA, 655 nt
Filed under: uncultured bacterium
Lineage: Bacteria
Description: bacterial SSU rRNA
Rfam family: Bacterial small subunit ribosomal RNA
Source: RNAcentral
ACGGGUGAGUAACGCGUGGGUAACCUGCCCUGCACAGGGGGACAAUAGUUAGAAAUGACUGCUAAUACCGCAUAAGCGCACAGUACCGCAUGGUACAGUGUGAAAAACUCCGGUGGUACAGGAUGGGCCCGCGUCUGAUUAGUUAGUUGGCGGGGUAACGGCCCACCAAGACGACGAUCAGUAGCCGGCUUGAGAGAGUGAACGGCCACAUUGGGACUGGGACACGGCCCAAACUCCUACGGGAGGCAGCAGUGGGGAAUAUUGCACAAUGGGGGAAACCCUGAUGCAGCAACGCCGCGUGAGUGAAGAAGUAUUUCGGUAUGUAAAGCUCUAUCAGCAGGGAAGAAAAUGACGGUACCUGACUAAGAAGCCCCGGCUAACUACGUGCCAGCAGCCGCGGUAAUACGUAGGGGGCAAGCGUUAUCCGGAUUUACUGGGUGUAAAGGGAGCGCAGGCGGUGCGGCAAGUCAGAUGUGAAAACCCGGGGCUCAACCCCGGGACUGCAUUUGAAACUGUCGGACUAGAGUGCCGGAGAGGUAAGUGGAAUUCCUAGUGUAGCGGUGAAAUGCGUAGAUAUUAGGAGGAACACCAGUGGCGAAGGCGGCUUACUGGACGGUAACUGACGCUGAGGCUCGAAAGCGUGGGGAGCAAACAG